RNAcentral lists this ribosomal RNA (238 nucleotides) under uncultured bacterium. RNAcentral's name for it is "partial 16S ribosomal RNA". It matches the Rfam family "Bacterial small subunit ribosomal RNA", at positions 335 to 567 of the family's 1533-position model. The record is from RNAcentral.
AGCCACCUACGGGGCGCAGCAGGGAGGAAUAUUGGUCAAUGGGCGGAAGCCUGAACCAGCCAAGUCGCGUGAGGGAAUAAGGCCCUACGGGUCGUAAACCUCUUUUGCCGGGGAGCAAGGGCGGGGACGUGUCCCGGCCCGGAGAGUACCCGGAGAAAAAGCAUCGGCUAACUCCGUGCCAGCAGCCGCGGUAAUACGGAGGAUGCGAGCGGUAUCCGGAUUUAUUGGGUUUAAAGGG